GACAGAGGGGGCAAGCGUUGCUCGGAAUCACUGGGCGUAAAGGGCGCGUAGGCGGGAUGGCAAGUCGGUCGUGAAAUCCUUCGGCUCAACCGAAGAACGUCGGCCGAUACUGCCGUUCUUGAGGGAUGCAGAGGAGAUUGGAAUUCCCGGUGUAGCGGUGAAAUGUGUAGAGAUCGGGAGGAACACCGGUGGCGAAGGCGGGUCUCUGGACAGUUCCUGACGCUGAGGCACGAAGGUCAGGGGAGCAAACGGG
Molecule: ribosomal RNA, 253 nt
Filed under: uncultured bacterium
Lineage: Bacteria
Description: partial 16S ribosomal RNA
Rfam family: Bacterial small subunit ribosomal RNA
Source: RNAcentral